AUAAAGACACGUCUAUCUAGCCC
Molecule: non-coding RNA, 23 nt
Filed under: Rattus norvegicus (Norway rat)
Lineage: Eukaryota; Metazoa; Chordata; Mammalia; Rodentia; Muridae
Source: RNAcentral